GGGCCAGUACUGGUUUCGACGGGGGUUUUGAAGCUGGAGAAGCGAGUCGCGAGGCAGUGCGUUAUACUCCAAAACUAAAUAUAAACGCUAACGAAGAUUUAGCACUCGCUGCCUAAUCAUAGGCUGCUGUCCGCCUUAUAAGACCUGCAUUUUAAGAUACGGGCAUCAUCAUGGCAGGAAACGACAUUUGCAAAGCUUUGAGCAUUUGGGCGUAAUAUGAAGCUACUGAAGGUAUCAGGCCGCCGAUCGUCGUAUACCGGAGGGAAAUGGGUCAUUUUAAUAUGAUCCGGAAAUAUUCGGCUACACUCGUAGAAGGACAGUGAAUUGGCUUUCGGACAGGGGUUCGACUCCCCUCUGGUCCACUC
RNAcentral lists this transfer-messenger RNA (365 nucleotides) under Lachnospiraceae. RNAcentral describes it as "RUG11977 sp017960415 Standard tmRNA". It matches the Rfam family "transfer-messenger RNA". Rfam says of the family: Bacterial tmRNA, also known as 10Sa RNA or SsrA, is named for its dual tRNA and mRNA-like properties. Its role is to liberate the mRNA from a stalled ribosome. RNAcentral also lists the same sequence under 1 other name. Lineage: Bacteria; Bacillati; Bacillota; Clostridia; Lachnospirales. The record is from RNAcentral.